AAGGCGGUAGCUGAUAUUAAAUCUAUCAAUCUCUUUGGCGUUCAGCAGAUAUGUCGGAAUUCAAUCGCACUUGAACAGGCGUUGGCAGCAAUUCCUUCAGUUAAUAGCGAGUUGGUACAGCAGAGAUUAGAUCGUGUGCGUACUUACUACGAAUUAUUGAACAUGCCAUUUGAGGCCUUGCUUGCCUUUAUCAUGGAGCACGAGCAUUUGUUUACUGCAGCAGAGUAUGCCAAUCUUCUCAAGGUUCAGGUUCCAGGAAGGGAGAUUCCACCCGAUGCCCAAGACCGUGUAUCCGAGAUCUUAUCCCGUUAGG
This 313-nucleotide unclassified non-coding RNA is filed under the name Hevea brasiliensis (rubber tree). Lineage: Eukaryota; Viridiplantae; Streptophyta; Magnoliopsida; Malpighiales; Euphorbiaceae. The record is from RNAcentral.